UACGGAGGGAGCUAGCGUUGUUCGGAAUUACUGGGCGUAAAGCGUACGUAGGCGGCUUUGUAAGUUAGAGGUGAAAGCCCGGGGCUCAACUCCGGAACUGCCUUUAAGACUGCAUCGCUUGAAUCCAGGAGAGGUGAGUGGAAUUCCGAGUGUAGAGGUGAAAUUCGUAGAUAUUCGGAAGAACACCAGUGGCGAAGGCGGCUCACUGGACUGGUAUUGACGCUGAGGUGCGGAAGCGUGGGGAGCAAACAGG
RNAcentral lists this ribosomal RNA (253 nucleotides) under uncultured bacterium. RNAcentral describes it as "partial 16S ribosomal RNA". It matches the Rfam family "Bacterial small subunit ribosomal RNA", at positions 524 to 776 of the family's 1533-position model. The record is from RNAcentral.